GCAACGGAUAUCUCGGCUCUCGCAUCGAUGAAAAACGUAGCGAAAUGCGAUACGUGGUGUGAAUUGCAGAAUCCCGUGAACCAUCGAGUCUUUGAACGCAAGUUGCGCCCGAAGCCAUUUGGCCGAGGGCACGUCUGCCUGGGCGUCACG
This 150-nucleotide ribosomal RNA is filed under the name Triplaris weigeltiana. Its description in RNAcentral is "5.8S ribosomal RNA". It matches the Rfam family "5.8S ribosomal RNA". Rfam says of the family: 5.8S ribosomal RNA (5.8S rRNA) is a component of the large subunit of the eukaryotic ribosome. Lineage: Eukaryota; Viridiplantae; Streptophyta; Magnoliopsida; Caryophyllales; Polygonaceae. The record is from RNAcentral.